ACUGGCAGGACUGCGCGGCGGCGAUUACAGACAUUUCGGGGGUCCGGGGCCUGUCGCGACUGCUAAGCGCUCGGCGCCUGGCGCUGGCCAAGGCGUGGCCAACAGUGUUGCAAACAGGAACCCGAGGUUUUCACUUCACUGUUGAAGGAACACGAGGGCAUCUGCUAAAGUUUCAGAUUCCAUUUCUGCUCAGUAUCCAGUAGUGGAUCAUGAAUUUGAUGCAGCGGUGGUAGGCGCUGGAGGGGCAGGCUUGCGAGCUGCAUUUGGCCUUUCUGAGGCAGGGUUUAAUACGGCAUGUGUUACAAAGCUGUUUCCUACCAGGUCACACACUGUUGCAGCGCAGCUAGAAAAUUAUGGCAUGCCGUUUAACAGCACUGAAGAUGGGAAGAUUUAUCAGCAUGCAUUUGGUGGACAGAGCCUCAGGUUUGGAAAGGGCGGGCAGGCCCAUCGGUGCUGCUGUUUGGCUGAUCGGACCGGCCACUCAAUAUUGCACACCUUAUAUGGGAGGUCUCUUUGAUGUGAUACCAGCUGUUUUGUGGAGUAUUUUGCCUUGGAUCUCCUGAUGGAGAAUGGGGAGUGAUGUGGUGUCAUCGCACUGUGCAUAGAGGACGGGUCCAUCCAUCGCAUAAGAGCAAAGAACACUGUUGUUGCCACAGGGCUGCGGGUGCACCUGCUUCAGCUGCACAUCUGCCCACACCAGCAGCGGCGAUGGCACGGCCAUGAUCACCAGGGAAGGCCUUCCUUGCCAGGACCUCGAGUUUGUUCAGUUCCACCCCACAGGUACAUAUGGUGCUGGUUGUCUCAUUACGGAAGGAUGUCAUGGAGAGGGAGGCAUUCUGAUUAACAGUCAAGGUGAAAGGUUUAUGGAGCGAUACGCCCCCGUCGCGAAGGACCUGGCGUCUAGAGUUGUGGUGUGUCGGUCGAUGACUGGAGAUCCGCGAAGGAAGAGGCUGUGGCCCUGAGAAAGAUCACGUCUACCUGCAGCUGCACCACCUACCUCUAGAGCAGCUGGCCACGCGCCUGCCUGGUAUUUCAGAGACAGCCAUGAUCUUCACUGGCGUGGACGUCACGAAGGAGCCGAUCCAUGUCCUCCCCACCGUGCAUUAUAAUGUGGACGGCAUUCCCACCAGCUACAAGGGGCAGGUCCUGAAGCACGCGAAUGGCCAGGAUCAGAUUGUGACCAGCCUGUACACCUGUGGGGAGGCCGCCUGUGCCUUGGUACAUGGUGCCAACCCCCUCGGGGCAAACUCACUGUUGGACCUGGUUGUCUGGUCAGGCAUGUGCCCUGAGUAUCAAAGAGUCAUGCAGGCCUGGAGAUAAAGUCCCUCCAAUUAAACCAAAUGCUGGGGAAGAAUCUGUCACGAAUCUUGAGAAAUUGAGAUUUGCUGAUGGAAGAAGCAGAAGAACAUGGGAACUGCGACUCAGCAUGCGGAAGUCAAUGCAAAAUCAUGCUGCCAUGUUCCGUGUGGGAAGCGUGUUGCAAGAAGGUUGUGGGAAAAUCAGCAAGCUCUACAGAGACCUGAAACACCUGCAGAUGUUUGACCGGGGAAUGGUCUGGAACACGGACCUGGUGGAGACCCUGGAGCUGCAGAACCUGAUGCUGUGUGUGCUGGAGACCAUCAAUGGAGCAGAGGCGCGGAAGGAGUCAUGGGGCGCGUACGCCAGGGAAGAAUACAAGGUGUGGAUUAAUGAGUACGAUCACUCCAAGCCCAUCCAGGGGCAGCAGAAGAAGCCCUUUGAGGAGCACUGGAGGAAGCACACCCUGUCCUAUGUGGACGUCAGCACUGGGAAGUGCACAGCCAGAGAACAACACAUCACACACAGGAAACAGUUGUGCUCAUGUGAUGGGGGCCUCAGCACUAGGAAGGAGUGGACUAUUGGCGCAUGUAGCAGCUUGAAUAAAUCUGAAAGUCACUACACUGCGUAAGAGAAGCCAAAUAAAAAAGUUCAUGCUGUGUACAGAGGGUGUUGAGAAUGCCUCCUACGUGACGGAAAGCAGAUCCGUGGUUCCCUGCAGACCGGCAGGAGCAGAUUCCAAAGGCACAGGAAGAAGCUUGCAGGUAGAAUGUGUUCAUUACCUUCUGCGCAUUAUACCACAAAAAAGCUGGUAAUAAAAAUGCUAACC
Molecule: long non-coding RNA, 2125 nt
Filed under: Pongo abelii (Sumatran orangutan)
Lineage: Eukaryota; Metazoa; Chordata; Mammalia; Primates; Hominidae
Description: lincRNA
Source: RNAcentral